AAAAGUCGUAACAAGGUCUCCGUAGGUGAACCUGCGGAGGGAUC
Molecule: ribosomal RNA, 44 nt
Filed under: Pezicula californiae
Lineage: Eukaryota; Fungi; Ascomycota; Leotiomycetes; Helotiales; Dermateaceae
Also listed under: 2 other names
Description: partial 18S ribosomal RNA
Rfam family: Eukaryotic small subunit ribosomal RNA
Source: RNAcentral